Molecule: non-coding RNA, 29 nt
Filed under: Homo sapiens (human)
Lineage: Eukaryota; Metazoa; Chordata; Mammalia; Primates; Hominidae
Source: RNAcentral
CCCCUGGGAUAAGUGAGGGUAGUGUCUUG